CAAAUUCAUUUCCUGUAACUGUGAUACCUUGUUUUACCUGUUAAACAGGACAGCAAAGUGAAACAAGAGUCAGUUGGUUCAGCUGUUUGGCACAGAGGUCAGUUCAGCCACAGAUUUACAUUUUUAGGUUUUUUUUUCUUUUUUAAUCGCUCACUUUUUUUAAAAACAAAAUACUCACCUAAAGUAGUUUCUUUUGAACCUACAGAAAAAGCAGAUGGAUUACACAAACCUCACAGUUUUUAUCUUCAAGUGGAUUUUUGUUCCAUCCUGAUGAUCAGAAGAGUGUUUGAGGAUUUAACAGAUCUCUUAAGAACAACAGUAACUGUUUGUUGUCAUUUUCUAAAAUCAUUUUCAGUUCUUUAGGUAAAACGUUUCAGUUUUCUUGGUUACAGUUUGAUUAACAUCAACCCACAAAAGUAUUUGAACAGAAACUCCAAAAACGAGUGAAACUAAAUUUAAAAUAUAAUUUCAUUUUCAGUGGAUGUUAACCAUGAAAAGCCUGAAAGAUCAUUGGUUUUCUGUUUUUCUGUUUGUGACGAUGAAACGAGAAUCAAACUGUCGUCAGAAACAAAACGUGCUUCUGCUUCAGCGACUGAAACACAAACUGUUCAUACAUGACGACACAUGAGAGCUUCUGAUUUUGUUCUGAGCAGAUCGUUCAACAACUGAACACUAAAACUUUUCCACUUCGCCUCGUUUGUUAUGACGCAAUUAUUUCUCCGCAUCCUCAGUCGAACCUACCAAACGUCACUCUAACGCGACGUUUCAACCUGCAGCUUUAUCUUUAUUUAAACCGUAAAUAUAAUCUGAUGUGUUCAGGUUUAAACUCAGGUUCAGUUAUUGAGUGAAAACGCCAACAGACUCAGACAUUUAGAACAAACUAAGAGUCAGAUCAGCAGAAACAGAGAACACGGACAUGUCUGCUGUAACUGCGUCGCUCUGCUCCACGCUGAUGUUUGUCCUGUUCGUCUCUGCAGACCAGAAAAACAUCACAGCUGAGUCUGGACAGGACGUCACUCUGACAUGUCGAGCUCCAAACAACAACAUCAUAGUUGUAAAGUGGAGCAGAGCUGAUCUGGGAGAUGAUUAUGUGCUUUUGUACCGGGAUGAGCAGUUUGAUCCAGAAGGCCAGCAUCCAUCUUUUAAGAACCGGGUGGAUCUGCAGGACAGACAGAUGAAGGAUGGAGACGUGUCUUUGAUUCUGAAGAAUGUGACGAUUAAUGAUGUUGGAACAUACGAGUGUGGUGUUGUCCAGCGAGUGAGAGGACCUUUGACUCUAAUCAACACCACCUACCUUCAUGUUGAUCCUCCAGGUGAGUGA
This is a long non-coding RNA of Oreochromis niloticus (Nile tilapia), 1321 nucleotides long. NCBI's taxonomy places the organism in Eukaryota, Metazoa, Chordata, Actinopteri, Cichliformes, Cichlidae. The record is from Ensembl.